This 231-nucleotide long non-coding RNA is filed under the name Physcomitrium patens. RNAcentral's name for it is "long non-coding RNA (PPAT_LNC006480)". The record is from RNAcentral. Lineage: Eukaryota; Viridiplantae; Streptophyta; Bryopsida; Funariales; Funariaceae.
CUUAAAAGUAUUUUUAGAAAAAAAAGCUUGUAAAUUGAAAAUUGAAAUAGAAAAUAGGAAAAAAGAAUUAUUGUACAAGAAAAAGAAAAAAAGAAAAAACACAUAGACAACAUGUCAACAUUUGUACAAAUCUAGAGACAUGAUGCCCCUUGCCACAUGUCUCAACAAAAAGCAUCACAUGACCACAAAGGCGGUGCCAAUUACCAAAGAAGAAAUCACCCAACCAAGAUA